Oncorhynchus tshawytscha (Chinook salmon) is the source of this 1303-nucleotide long non-coding RNA. Lineage: Eukaryota; Metazoa; Chordata; Actinopteri; Salmoniformes; Salmonidae. The record is from Ensembl.
GUUGGAGACAAUGAAUAAUUUAGGAUUUUGACAUGGUCUUGUUCUCUGAAUAAAAAUGUUUUGGUGCAAAGUCUUUGAGGAAGAAAAAAAAGGUUUCCACAUUUCUUUUGAGGAAAAUCACACAAUGAUAUUACUAGGCGCCACAUUUGGCCAAACACAUUAUAAUACUAUAAAUAGCAAAUCACACAAGAUACCAUCAUAAUAAAAGUGGUAAGUUGGAAAAAUAGUUAAAGCCCCAACAACAACUGUUCCCUAGACGACGGCAGCCCCUUGCACCUCUCAGAUGUUUUAAAAAUUUAACGAGGCAAGUCGGUUAACAACAAAUUCUUAUUUACAAUGACGGCCUACCGGGGAACAGUGGGUUAACUGCCUUGUUCAGGGGCAGAACGAUAGAUUUCGGUUACUUGCCCAACGUUCUAACCACUAGGCUACCCAGCCACCCCUGAUUCAGAGGGUUAAAUGCGGAAGACACAUUUCAGUUCAAUGCAUUCAGUUGUGCAACUGACUAGGUCUCCCCCUUUUACCUAUGUUGACUAGUCAUCAUUUAACAUUUCAUUUAGGGUGAUCAUGAUCGUCUGGCUGACAAAGUAGGCACUUAAAAGUUAACUCCUGAAGUGACUUGGGAAGCAUCCCAAAUAGUACCCUGUUCCUUAUAUAGUACACUACUUUUAAACCGGGCCCAAAAGGGCUCUGGUCAACAGUAGUACAGUAUACAGGGAAUAGGGUGCCAUUUGGGACGUAGGCUAACUCAAUUCCCUCACACGCUGAGGAUGUGCUCAUUUAUAAAUUUAACUUAUUUUAAUUUACAGUAACUGUAAAUGCAAUAUUGUACUAUAUUAGAUUAUAAACUAGGCGGUUCGAGCCCUAAAUGCUGAUUGGCUGACAGCCAUGGUAUAUCAGACCCUAUACCAUGGGUAUAGGUUUUAACUGCUCUAGUUACGUUGGUAACCAGUUUAUAAUAGCAAUAAGACCCCUCGGGGAGGUUGUGGUAUAUGGCCAAUACAGAUAUAGCACGGCUAAGGGCCAGGAAUUCCGCAAUGCGUUGUGCACACGAACAGUCCUUAGCCGUGGUAUAUUGGCCAUAUACCACACCUCCUCGGGCCUUAUUACUUAAGUUGGACAUACAUGUGCAUUGUUUUUUUUGAUGCAAUCAAAAAGUUGACUAUGAGAAAGUUGACAUAGUUGACUAUGAAGAACUCUCAUAAAGAAGGAAGAGAAGAAGAAGAAGGAAGAGAAGAAGAAGAAGGAAGAGAAGAAGAAGAAGGAAGAGAAGAAGGAGAAGGAAGAGAAGAAGAAGAAGGAA